RNAcentral lists this ribosomal RNA (822 nucleotides) under Coprinopsis utrifer. Its description in RNAcentral is "eukaryotic LSU rRNA". It matches the Rfam family "Eukaryotic large subunit ribosomal RNA", at positions 73 to 881 of the family's 3401-position model. Lineage: Eukaryota; Fungi; Basidiomycota; Agaricomycetes; Agaricales; Psathyrellaceae. The record is from RNAcentral.
GAUUCCCCUAGUAACUGCGAGUGAAGCGGGAAAAGCUCAAAUUUAAAAUCUGGCGGUCUUUGGCCGUCCGAGUUGUAAUCUAGAGAAGUGUUACCNGUGCCGGACCGUGUACAAGUCUCCUGGAAUGGAGCGUCAUAGAGGGUGAGAAUCCCGUCUUUGACACGGACUACCGGUGCUUUUGUGGUGCGCUCUCAAAGAGUCGAGUUGUUUGGGAAUGCAGCUCAAAAUGGGUGGUAAAUUCCAUCUAAAGCUAAAUAUUGGCGAGAGACCGAUAGCGAACAAGUACCGUGAGGGAAAGAUGAAAAGAACUUUGGAAAGAGAGUUAAACAGUACGUGAAAUUGCUGAAAGGGAAACGCUUGAAGUCAGUCGCGUUGGCCGGAAAUCAACCUUGCUUCUGCUUGGUGUACUUUCUGGUUGACGGGCCAGCAUCAGUUUUGACCGGUGGAAAAAGUCCAAGGGAAUGUGGCAACUCCGGUUGUGUUAUAGCCCUUGGUCGUAUACAUCGGUUGGGACUGAGGAAUUCAGCACGCCGCAAGGCCGGGUCUUCGGACCGUACGUGCUUAGGAUGCUGGCAUAAUGGCUUUAAUCGACCCGUCUUGAAACACGGACCAAGGAGUCUAACAUGCCUGCGAGUGUUUGGGUGGAAAACCCGAGCGCGUAAUGAAAGUGAAAGUUGGGAUCUCUGUCGUGGAGAGCACCGACGCCCGGACCUGAUGUUUACUGACGGAUCUGCGGUAAAGCAUGUAUGUUGGGACCCGAAAGAUGGUGAACUAUGCCUGAAUAGGGUGAAGCCAGAGGAAACUCUGGUGGAGGCUCGUAGC